This 415-nucleotide ribosomal RNA is filed under the name bacterium enrichment culture clone N3h15. RNAcentral describes it as "bacterial SSU rRNA". It matches the Rfam family "Bacterial small subunit ribosomal RNA", at positions 96 to 524 of the family's 1533-position model. The record is from RNAcentral.
UGGCGGACGGGUGAGUAACGCGUGAGUAACCUGCCUUUCAGAGGGGGAUAACAUCCUGAAAAGGAUGCUAAUACCGCAUGACAUAUCGAGGCCGCAUGGUCUUGGUAUCAAAGGAGCAAUCCGCUGAGAGAUGGACUCGCGUCCGAUUAGCCAGUUGGCGGGGUAACGGCCCACCAAAGCGACGAUCGGUAGCCGGACUGAGAGGUUGAACGGCCACAUUGGGACUGAGACACGGCCCAGACUCCUACGGGAGGCAGCAGUGGGGGAUAUUGCACAAUGGAGGAAACUCUGAUGCAGCAACGCCGCGUGAGGGAAGAAGGUCUUCGGAUUGUAAACCUUUGUCCUUGGUGACGAAACAAAUGACGGUAGCCAAGGAGGAAGCUCCGGCUAACUACGUGCCAGCAGCCGCGGUAAU